This 771-nucleotide unclassified non-coding RNA is filed under the name Octopus sinensis (East Asian common octopus). Its description in RNAcentral is "aP-1 complex subunit sigma-2, transcript variant X7". Lineage: Eukaryota; Metazoa; Mollusca; Cephalopoda; Octopoda; Octopodidae. The record is from RNAcentral.
CAGUAUUACGUCCAGUGACGUCAUCACGUUGUGUACUCAAUCUUCAGUGACAUGGUACUCAUUCGCUGGGUUUAACAGGACACGAUUGCAUCUGGUGCAAUUUAAUCGGACAAGAUUUGUUCGUCUGUUGUUUCCAACACCGCUUCAAGAUGAUGCAAUUUAUGUUGCUGUUUAGUCGUCAGGGGAAAUUAAGAUUGCAGAAAUGGUAUGUUGCUCACCCAGACAAAGUAAAGAAGAAGAUUACCCGUGAGCUUGUCACUUUGGUUCUUGCCAGGAAACCAAAGAUGUGCAGCUUUCUGGAAUGGAAAGAUUUGAAAAUAGUUUAUAAAAGAUAUGCCAGCCUUUACUUCUGUUGUGCCAUUGAACCAGCUGACAAUGAAUUAUUAACACUUGAAAUCAUACACAGAUAUGUUGAAUUGCUUGAUAAAUAUUUUGGCAGCGUAUGUGAGCUUGACAUAAUCUUUAAUUUUGAAAAAGCUUACUUCAUGCUUGACGAGUUAAUGCUUGGCGGUGAAGUGCAGGAAACCAGCAAGAAAAAUGUGUUGAAGGCCAUUGCUGCACAGGACCUAUUACAAGAGUUGGGAGCUUCCACUAUAAAAGAUUUGUCAGGUAGUGGUAUAGUCUUGUACUACUGAUCAAGUGUAUUAAGACGUGAAGCUAAAAACUCUCAAGUUAGUUUAGACAUUUUAGAGGAGACACCCCAGGGGUUCUUUGAAGAUCAUGGUUUAGGUUGAGGCAUGACGUGCAUGAAACCAGUGUUUAAACAAAAAA